ACUUAUCGCCUGUGCCACGCAGAGACCUCCUCCCCGCUCUGGUACGGGCGCUGCGCCGCGCGGACCUCAGACUGCGCUCCCUGGGCGGCAGCGCCCUGCAGAGCCGCUGUCGGGAGCUAGUCCUGGUAUUGCUCCUGUUUCCCGCGUCCCGCAGCCCCGGGGGCUCGCCUAUCCCCGGCGCCCUGAUUGAAACCAUCUGCUCUGCGCUCGGGCGCAGGAAGCGCGCCGCUCGCUCUCCUCCUUCCUUCCUUUCUUUCUUCUUCCCCUGCAAGCGGCUCCGCGCGGAAAGCAACCCAGCACUCGUCGGUUUUAAAUAAAAAGUACGCUCCUCUGGAGCAGAGGGAGGAGGAAGAUUGUCAGACGGGGGGCUCAGUUCUCCCCUCCUCUGCCCAUCGUAUCUCCCCGCAGACUGGCCGGUCCUGCCCGGCAUCGGCUGGCUGAUCCCCUUCAUCCCGCCUGGCCAGGACCCGGGUUUGGGGCCGGAGGCAGGCGGCGCCCACCCUUCUGCGGUGCUGGAGCCGAGCACUGCCGAGGGGAGCGGUGGCUUUGCUGCUCGGGUCUGCCCGGCAGCGGCGGGGCUGCAGCCCUGAUCUGGCGGCGCUGCGGGAGCAGGUUUCUUUGUUGGCUGCCGGGUGACUGGUUCCCAUUAAUCUCCCGCACUGGCCGUGGCCGUCUCCACUUCCUGCCUUUGCAUACUUCUCUCUCCCUCGAUCUCAGUCCCUUCCCUCCCCUUUCCCUCCCCCAUUUCUUUCUUUCCCUCUUCCCAGCUUCUCCAAAAAAGCUACAACCACCCGGGCUGCGGGACGGGGGCUUCAGCCAGCCGGCGGAAGGGAGCGCAUCCCUGCGCGCCUCGGUAAGGGCCGGGGAGCCGAGCUGCCAGAAACAUGAAAGAGUACAGGAAGUCCUGCAUGACCACAAUGAAUACCUGUGCUAAUUAAGUCACUGGCUGGUACUGGGAGA
Long non-coding RNA from Neopsephotus bourkii (Bourke's parrot), 960 nucleotides. RefSeq lists it as uncharacterized. The transcript is spliced from 3 exons. The record is from RefSeq and is a predicted model, not a curated record. NCBI's taxonomy places the organism in Eukaryota, Metazoa, Chordata, Aves, Psittaciformes, Psittacidae.